RNAcentral lists this ribosomal RNA (540 nucleotides) under uncultured bacterium. Its description in RNAcentral is "bacterial SSU rRNA". It matches the Rfam family "Bacterial small subunit ribosomal RNA", at positions 355 to 896 of the family's 1533-position model. The record is from RNAcentral.
UGAGGAAUAUUGGUCAAUGGACGUAAGUCUGAACCAGCCAAGUAGCGUGCAGGAUGACGGCCCUAUGGGUUGUAAACUGCUUUUGUAUGGGGAUAAAGUCAAUCACGUGUGAUUGUUUGCAGGUACCAUACGAAUAAGGACCGGCUAAUUCCGUGCCAGCAGCCGCGGUAAUACGGAAGGUUCGGGCGUUAUCCGGAUUUAUUGGGUUUAAAGGGAGCGUAGGCCGGAGAUUAAGUGUGUUGUGAAAUGUAGACGCUCAACGUCUGACUUGCAGCGCAUACUGGUUUCCUUGAGUACGCACAACGUUGGCGGAAUUCGUCGUGUAGCGGUGAAAUGCUUAGAUAUGACGAAGAACUCCGAUUGCGAAGGCAGCUGACGGGAGCGCAACUGACGCUGAAGCUCGAAGGUGCGGGUAUCGAACAGGAUUAGAUACCCUGGUAGUCCGCACAGUAAACGAUGGAUGCCCGCUGUUGGUACCUAGUAUCAGCGGCUAAGCGAAAGCAUUAAGCAUCCCACCUGGGGAGUACGCCGGCAACGGUG